GCUCCAAGAGUGUAUAUUAAAAGUUGUUGCAGUUAAAAAAGCUCGUAGUUGGAUUUGUGGUGUACUUUGGCGGCCUGUCACAAUGUGAUGGAGCUUGCUGAAGUCGCCAUCCUUGGGUGGAUCCUGUGUGGCAUUAAGUUGUCGUGCAGGGGAUGCCAUCGUUUACUGUGAAAAAAUUAGAGUGUUCAAAGCAGGCUUAU
This 200-nucleotide ribosomal RNA is filed under the name uncultured eukaryote. Its description in RNAcentral is "partial 18S ribosomal RNA". It matches the Rfam family "Eukaryotic small subunit ribosomal RNA", at positions 588 to 789 of the family's 1831-position model. The record is from RNAcentral.